AAUAGAUACCCAGGUAGUCCACGCCGUAAACGAUGGAUACUAGCUGUUGGGGGCGACCUCAGUGGCUAAGCGAAAGUGAUAAGUAUCCCACCUGGGGAGUACGUUCGCAAGAAUGAAACUCAAAGGAAUUGACGGGGGCCCGCACAAGCGGUGGAGCAUGUGGUUUAAUUCGAUGAUACGCGAGGAACCUUACCAAGGCUUAAAUGUAGAUUGACAGGUUUGGAAACAGACUUUUCUUCGGACAAUUUACAAGGUGCUGCAUGGUUGUCGUCAGCUCGUGUCGUGAGGUGUCAGGUUAAGUCCUAUAACGAGCGCAACCCCUGUUGUUAGUUGCCAGCGAGUCAAGUCGGGAACUCUAGCAAGACUGCCAGUGUAAACUGUGAGGAAGGUGGGGAUGACGUCAAAUCAUCACGGCCCUUACGCCUUGGGCUACACACGUGCUACAAUGGACGGUACAGAGAGCAGCCACUACGUGAGUAGGAGCGAAUCUAUAAAACCCGUUCUCAGUUCGGAUCGGAGUCUGCAACUCGACUCCGUG
RNAcentral lists this ribosomal RNA (538 nucleotides) under uncultured bacterium. RNAcentral's name for it is "bacterial SSU rRNA". It matches the Rfam family "Bacterial small subunit ribosomal RNA", at positions 777 to 1322 of the family's 1533-position model. The record is from RNAcentral.